GUCGCACAAGUACAAUAAGUAAACUGAAUACAACCACAACUAAAUGAAUAUAGAAACAAUUAUACAAUCAUUCAUUCACCAUUCACAUCACAAUUAUACAUUCAAUGUUUAACAUAAAUCUACACCUAUCAGUUAAAAACGUUUUCAACCCAGAAACAGGUUUUGAAAUGCUAAGAUACAAAAUCCACAGAAAACCUUUUAAAAACUGUUCCCUACACGGGAACUUUUAUCUUUUAGAAACGCUACCACGAGGGGUAGAAAAUCAUUCAACAUUUGAAAUCCACAAAUCCUUUUUAUUACAUCAUAAAUCCAACUGAAAAUUCAGAUAUUCAACUACUAUAACAAAAACUGAACUAUAAUAUGUCUAAGUUAUUUAUUCAAGCAUGAAGGGUAAAGAAAUAACCGACACGGGACGGAGCUCUAUCGUACGCUAGAAAUGCUCCUCACCAGCUGUCCCACUUGGACCUGCGACGUCACCUGUAAUGGGGGCGGGGGGGUGAGAACAUGUAAACAUAUCUCCCUCUCCUUCCAGUGGGUACCGCAAGCCGACGAGGGCGAGGGGUACUCACUAGUCAGGAGAUAAACAAGGAUAUGAAUAAUGGUAAUACAGUAGCUAAGAUAAACAAGUAAUGAAAUGUGUAUAGAUAAACCACUACAGGUACUGUAUGCGUGCAUCAAAUCAGUCCAAAAGUACCCAAUAUGAAACCAAUGCUCUCUUGGUCCGCACCGCAAACCUCAAGCCAGUGCCACUACUACUCUACCAUGCAUAUAACCCCUCUAGGGCUCACGGAUUGACAACUGCAACCAUUUUUCCGGAAAAGAACACCCCUUGCGGUGGAUCAGACCGCCAGUGUUCGUGAAAUGCGACGAGUAUCGGGCGAUCAAUGCAAUAUGCUCAAUGAUCAACCGUCGGCAACUAGCCGACAAUCCUGCCCCCCAGGGCACACCAGCCAUAUGGGUCAUCAUGUAAUCAAAUCAACCAACCAGGUCACAAGUAUAGGAGAUGCAAUGUCCACAAGUAUAGGAGAUGCAACGUCGACCAACCAGGUCAUGGAGAUCACAUAGGAGAAUAGACCAACCAAAUCAUAGAUGCAAAUAGGAGAACCGACCAACCAGGUCACAGAUGCAAAUAGGAGAACCGACCGACCAGGUCACAAAUAUCAUAUACAGAUAAAGUUUACUAUACUCCUACACAUGAUACUACAUCUGGCAACAACUAAGUAGAGUAAAUAAGGAAAUAGCAUGGGUGUAAGGCUCAACAUGUAUAAGGUAAAUGAUAUACACAACAAGGGUAAAGGAAACGUCACCGAGCGUGCACCACUGUACCGACGUCGGAACGAAGUACCCACCUGUAUGUGUCUGACGAAAAUCUCUCGACUGUGAAGACGGUGCAACCGAACCUACGAAAGGUCCACCGGGUUAGAACCUAACCCACUAACACAUAUCGCUAACUCACAAUCCCACAAUCAUAGCCCUUCGGGAAUCGGUUUUCCAAAACCGAUUGCCGAACUCACCAGAAGUCACAAAAAAACUGCACCGGGACUCCGCCGGGACCCACGAACCGUCCCAAAACUACCCAACUCAUCAUAUGAGUUGCUCGCUGCCGCUAAACACCUAUUUUAGUGUGACAAGGCAGCAAAGACGCUAACUCGAUGCGGAACGAUUAUCGUCGGAUAAUCGUUUCGAUUCGGGUUCCCGGAAAUGUCUAUUUCGACACCGGAACCCGCCGUCGCUCACUCGUCGUUUCUGAACCCUCGAAACGACACGGGUGACAAGCCAACAAGGCUCAGCGACACUACAAUCAACCACGAGGCACUGUCGGAUGAAUUUCGAAUCGAAAACGCGUUCUAUCAGCGGAUUUCGCCGAAAAACGCUCCAGAAAUCACUUUUCGAUUUUCGCAAAAGCUUGGGGCCUUGGACGAUCAGUCCAGAGGUUAUCCUCAGCCUACCCUUGCUGCCAACAUCAUCUACAUCGAAGCAAAAACCCUAAAAGCCCUUACCGAUACGUGAAAUCACAUCAUUUUAUGUGAUUUCUAGGCUUUUCUGGACCGUGCACGCAAACCAGAGAUCGAUUCAGCAAACCGUCGCGCUCGCUGAUAGGUUUCAGCGUGCCAGAGGCCGUGCUCACCUUUCGGAGAACUGCCGGCCACUAUGGCACGCGCACGAGCGACACGAAACUCAGUGAAACAGCGCGCACAGCGCUAAGAUUGCCAUUAAUGCACAAUCCAGGGCAUCUCUGUCCCUGUUGGAGGUGAGCAAGAUGUUCAGCACGUGUUGUAGAUCAUCGUGCUCACUUCCCUAGGUCUAGAAGGCUUAACGGAUCACCGAAAAGGUGACCGAAAUCUCAGACUUUAGUGCUGGAACAUAAAACAGCCUUACCAGAACCGGGGAGAGCUAGGGUUGGUCGCCGACGGUCGGACGGCGGGCGGUCCAGCUAGGGGAGGGCGCGGCCGGUAGGUGAGUUCCGGGGCACUCGUUGGCCGGUGGCUGGAGGCGGCCGGUGGCGCGGCGGCGGAGAUCAACUCCCUAAGGCUGCUCACGGGUUCAAGGGCGCCGACAGCAAGGCGGCGGCCGAAGGAGCUUGGGGCGGCGACGAUUCGACGCCGGAGGCCGAGGGAGAGGCGGUGCACCCUUCGUUGGACGGCGGCGGCGCUUGGAAGUCGAGCGGACUCGACCUCGGUCCGCACCAACCCAGGACGGCCGCAAGCUGCACAAGCGGCGGCCGGCGGUCCACGGGGAUGGCCGGGAUGGCGAGCAGGAGGUCGCCGGAGGUGCGGGGAUAGCGCUGGGGAUGGGCCUGUGCCAGGGGAUGUUGAAGCUCGGGCUUUGAUGCCUUCCCGAGCACAACAGCUGAGCUGGUGGCGAGGUGGGUCUAACGAGGAGUUGAGGGGAGGCCGGGGUGGCUUUUCCGGCGGCCGGAGCUGCUCGUCGGCGGUCCCGAUGUGCGAAUUGGCAGGGCAUGGUGUAGGUAGGGCAGCUAGGGUUAGCUAGGUGAACGUGGGCAGCCAAAGAACCAUGAAAAACCCUAGAUGUUACUUUUAUACAAGGUGUCAUUUUGCGAGGAACCCCUUCAAAGUCAAAUAAUUAUAAUCCUGCCCCUGCCCGCAUGUGUAACUUGCAUGCCAGCCCAUCAACAUUCGAAAUCUCGUGAAACAGCGCAUAAAAUAUAGGGUCUUUUCGCGAUUAAUCGAUUUUGCCAAAUUGACCUCUCAGCGGACUUUUCACAAUUUCCGAAGAUCCGCCCGUCGGAUUUCCGAACGGAUUGCGCCAGCGCGUUCAGAAUGACUGGGGCAUCGAAUCUAGCAUCUUACUUUGUCCGAUUUGGUUUUCGAUUUGCGUCAAAACCAUCCCUCUUUUGUUUUCACUAUGUAGCCACUUAUAUUACUACACGUGAAACCAAUCAAACCCCUUUUUUCUCGACAACCGUGCAUCAGAAUCCAAUUUCGUCAGUGCCAUUGGGUCCAGAAUGGUCGAACCGUUCGAAACGAGCUAUUGGAGCACUAUGAUCGGAGUCCAAUGUGCACCAGAACCGUCUUCUACUCACUGGCUUCGCCGGGAAGCCAGAGUUACUAUUCACUCUAAGUUAUCGGUUCAGGUUGCAUAACUUCUCCAUCUUAACUCGUUUUCACCUGAAAUUUGACAAGUGCUUAUGUAAUUAUAUUACACAUAAAAAUAUUGUCAACAAAGGGUUUAAUUUUUAUUACUAAAAAUCUCGGUUAUUACAUCAUUCCCCCCUUACAAGAAGUUUCGUCCCCGAAACUUAAAUCAAGGAUCCCCCGUGAAUAGCUGCGGAUAACUCUCCCGCAUAGAAGACUCAAGCUCCCAUGUAGCCUCGCGCUCCUCGUGAUUUGCCCACUGAACUUUUACAUACGGAAUGCUCCUGUUCCGUAAUUGCUUCACUUCACGUGCCAAAAUCCCCAAUGGAGCCUCAUCAUAGCUCAGAUCCUCCCGUAGCUGAAUAGAUGUCGGACUAAUGAUGUGAGACGGAUCUGGAAUGUAUUUCCGCAACAUGGACACAUGAAAGACAUUGUUCACCCGGGUGAGACUUGGAGGAAGAGCCAAUCUGUACGCUACCGGACCGAUGCGCUCCAGGAUCUCAAACGGUCCCACGAACCGCGGACUUAGCUUGUUCCGCAAACCGAACCGCUUGAUCCUCUUGGAUGGCGACACCUUGAGCAACACAUGCUCACCGACCUGAAACUCCAGGUCACGCCUCUGCUGAUCCGCGUAUCUCCUCUGUCGACUCUGUGCAGUCAGAAGCCGCUCUCUCGCAAUGCGGAUCUUCGCCAACGCAUCCUCCACUAAGUCUGGCCCGAUCAACCGACGUUCUCCGACGUCGUCCCAACAGAUAGGAGACCGACAUCGACGCCCAUAUAAAGCCUCGUACGGUGCCAUCCCGAUGCUCGCCUGGUAGCUGUUAUUAUAGGAGAACUCCACCAACGGUAGAUAUCGGAACCAUCCAUCACCGUAAUCCAGGAUACAUGCGCGGAGCAUGUCCUCAAGAGUCUGGAUGACUCGCUCUGACUGUCCGUCGCUCUGGGGAUGGAAUGCCGUACUGAAGUUCAACUUCAUACCCAUAACCUAUUGCAAGCUCCUCCAGAAGUGGGAAACAAAGCGAGUGUCCCGAUCAGACACAAUCGACACUGGCACACCAUGAAGCCGAACAAACUCGUCAAUGUAUAACUGUGCUAGUCGAUCACGGGACCACGUUGUAUGCAUCGGCAAGAAGUGAGCCAAUUUCGUCAGCCGAUCAACUAUAACCCAGAUCACAUCAUGGCCUCGCUGUGAUCGAGGCAAUCCGGUGACGAAAUCCAUAGUGAUCUGCUCCCACUUCCAUACGGGGAUCGGAAGUGGUUGCAGCUUUCCUGCUGGUCGCUAAUGCUUAGCUUUCACCUGCUGACAAAUCAAGCACCGAGCCACGUGCUGAGCCACAUCAAGCUUCAUCCCAGGCCACUAGAAAUUCUGCUUCAGGUCGCGGUACAUCUUGGUUCCUCCUGGGUGAACUGUGUAAGGGGAUCGGUGCGCCUCGGAUAGGAUGUCGUUCCUCAGCUCCGAGUCAUUGGGCACACACCAUCUGCCUUUAAAGCGCAGAGAUCCAUCAGUGUGGAUAUUGAAGUCCCCGUCCUUACCCUGCUCGACCUCCGCCCGCACUUUCUGUAAGUACGGGUCACUCUACUACCCAAGCAAAAUCCGCUCCGUCAAAGUAGGCUGUAUCACCAGAGUCAUCAAUUGGGCCGUGGCCCCGGUGGAAACAACCUUGAUCUCCAGACGGCGGAACUCCACGAGUCGAUCCUGGCUCGUGAUCAUAAUGGACAACGAAGCUGAAGGCUGUUUCCGGCUCAAGGCGUCCACCACCGCGUUCGCCUUUCCCGAAUGGUACUGGAUCGUGAGAUCGUAGUCCUUUAAGAGCUCGAGCCAACGUCUCUGCCUGAGGUUCAACUCCUUCUGUGUGAAAAGGUACUUCAGGCUCUGAUGAUCGGUGAAUACCUCGCAGUGUGCUCCAUAUAGAUAGUGCCUCCACAGCUUUAGGGCAAACAUUACCGCCGCGAGCUCUAGAUCGUGAGUCGGAUAGUUCUUUUCAUACGACUUUAGCUGUUGAGAUGCGUAAGCGAUGACCCGAUCCUGCUGCAUAAGCACGCACCCCAGACCGACCCAGGAGGCGUCACAAUAGACCACAAAAUCCUCACCAGGUCGCGGCAGAGUAAGAACGGGUGCGCGGGUCAAUCGAUCCUUCAGCUCAUCAAAGCUCUGCUGGCACUGCUCGGUCCACUGAAACCGUUCUCCUUUUCUGGUAAGCUUGUUUAGCGGUGCGGCGAUCUUGGAGAAGCCCUCAACGAAUCGCCGAUAAUAACCCGCCAAACCCAGAAAGCUCCGGACUUCAGUCACCGAAGUCGGUUCAGGCCACUCGACCACUGAGGCUAUCUUCUUUGGAUCCACCGUAAUGCCCGAUGGAGUCACAAUAUGCCCUAAGAAAGAUACCUCGCGGAGCCAGAACUCGUACUUCUUGAGCUUACCAUAUAGCUUGUGCUCUCGAAGUAUCUGCAGUACUCGUCGGAGAUGAUCCUUGUGCUCCUCAUCACUCCGCGAGUAAAUCAGGAUGUCGUCAAUGAAGACCACGACAAACUGAUCCAAGUAUGCCCGAAAGACCCUAUUCAUCAUAUCCAUGAAAGCUACCGGGGCAUUGGUGAGCCCAAACGGCAUCACCGUGAACUCGUAGUGGCCGUAUCGAGUUCUAAAGGCGGUCUUCGACACAUCCUCAUCCCGGAUCUUAAGCUGAUGGUACCCGGACUGUAGGUCGAUCUUCGAAUACACCGAUGAUCCAUGAAGCUGAUCGAAGAGAUCCUCAAUCCGGGGUAGUGGAUACUUGUUCUUCACAGUGACCUUAUUAAGCUCCCGGUAGUCGAUGCACAGUCGAAGACUACCAUCCUUCUUUUUGACAAAGAGGACUGGGGCACCCCCAAGGAGACACGCUAGGGCGGAUAAACCCUCUCUCCAGAAGAUCCUCAAGUUGAGCCUUCAACUCUUUCAGCUCAGCGAAGGCCAUGCGAUAGGGGGCCUUCGAGAUCGGUGCCGUGCCUGGAACUAGCUCGAUGAAGAAGUCGAUCUCCCGGUCCGGAGGCAUUCCCGGAAGCUCAUCUGGAAAGACAUCCGGGAAUUCCUGAACAACUAGAAUAUCCUCCAAUGGUGGUGCAGCUCGGUGGGUGACAUCUACUGAAGCCAGGUAGGCUACACAUCCCGCAUUCAUAAGCCUCUUUGCUCUAGCUGAAGAGAUAGACGCGGCAAAAUAGGAGCUCUUACAUGCUCGGUAUACGAAUACUUCUUCGCCGGGCCCGAUAAAUGUCACCGUCCUCCGCUCGCAGUCGAUGGUAGCGUGGUGCCUGGUAAACCAGUCCAUCCCAAUCACCACGUCGAACUUCUUCAUGGGAAGUACCACCAGGUUCGCCAGGAAGCUCCGAUUAUCCAAAAUGACAGGGUACGAUAGGAUGCACCGAUCAGCUAAUAGGUCACCUCCAGGCGUGUCAAUACGGAGCGGCACGUCUAGUGGACGCGAGGAAAUACCAUGCUCACAUGCAAAUGAAUGCGAAAUGAAUAAGUGCGAUGCUCCAUUAUCGAAUAUAGCUCUAGCACGAGUAAUGCAGAGGGUAACAAUACCUGCAAGGACGUCACCAUCAUUGUUGCCUUCGUGCGCGCCCCCUCGUUUUGGCGUGAGGAGGAGGGACGCCUAAACGAAGCAGCUGCGCUUGGAGCUCAACGGUUCUGUCGGGAUGCAGCUGGGGAGGAGGCAGCACUCUGAUUAGCCACAUUUCUCUUAGGGCAAUGUGCUUGCAGGUGGCCCGGCUGACCACAAUGGAAACAGUUGUCCCUCCUCUGCGGACAGUCGGUCACCCGGUGUGCUUGCCCACAAAUCACACGGGGUUGACCGCCCCGUCGCUGACUGCCGGAGGGUGCACUCUUCGCCGACUGCUGAGUGCGAGGAUGCUUCGGUGGCUUUUUGCUGAAAGAAGAGCCACUGCUAGACUUAGAAUGGGAACGCUUCCUGUCCCCUGAUCGCUAGGAUGCAUCGCGAUCAGCUCGCAUCUCCUCUGACUCGCUCUGCACUAUAAGAGCCCGGUCGAAAGACUCGUCGAAGGGUAUCAUGCCAUUGGACGCGACCAAGAGCCGAAUGUUGGGCCUCAGCCCCCUGAUAAAAAGCUUGGCCUUGUGGUACUCGUCCCGCACCGCGAAGGGAAUCAGCCCGACGAUGCAGCUGAAAUCUCGCUCGUACUCCGCCACAGUACGGUUACCCUGCUUAAGGCGCUCCAGCUCGCGCUCCAAGUUCUGCUUCGUACUGUCCUUGAAGUACUGCUCAUUUAGGAGUCUCCGAAACUCAUCCUAGGGUGGAUAGAUGCUUGAGAGCUUGUUCACGAAGUGGCGGAUCCACCAUGCAUACGCAUCCCUCUCAAGGCAAUGAGCGGCCAGAGGAACGCGAUCCUGCUCCUCAAUAUGGAGAUCGCGAAAUAGUUUCUCCAUGUGGGUGGCCCAGUGCUCGAUCACCCAUGCAUCGUCAUUCUUCCUAGCGAACUUAGGCGGAUCGAACUUUCUAAACUGGACCAACUUCGCACGCAUGUGAUCGCCCUCCACUGCAGAGGUAUUAGCACCCCCAGCGAAAACCGUCGUGGUAGUCGUCGUCGUCGUCGUGCCAGUCGGAGCUGUAGCCGGUGGAGGUAUCAUCGAGUGUCCGCAGUAACUGGAGCCGGCUGUGUCGGAGGUGGAGCCGGGGGAGCAGCAGCUGCAGUCUGCUGCUGUAUAAACUACUGGAACAUCCCCGAGAGGGCCGUCAGCUGACCCCUCAUCGCUGCUACCUCGGCCUCAAGCUGCUAGGUACGCGCAUCACCCAACUGCUCGGGGCCGACCUGCUUCCCUCCACCCCUGCCCCUCGGGACACGCCCUCCAGGACUGUUCGAUGCCCCCUCAGUGGCGCAUCCACCGCCACGACCCCGACGAGGAGGUCUACCAGGACCACGAGCCAUCUGCAACAGAAAACACCGUCAGCCGAAUAAUCGACUUCGACUACUACCAACCAGGACUCGAGCCCAAACCCCGCACUCACAUGCUUAUACAUCGUAGGUCUUCCUAAAGGUCAACCUAACCAAUGGUUCAGUUUAUUUUUAUUUUCAAAAUAACCUGUGAAUGGUGUUGUGGUUGUAACUUGGCUCUGAUACCACUUUAAUCUGUAACGCCCCGGGGUCCAUUUUUGUUUGAAAACACAGCGGAAAUAGCUAAAUUUUUUUUUUUUUUUAAAGACCUGACUCUAGGGUAUGCCAGAUCCGCCACAAAUACAGAGAGUUCACAGAUCACACGGACAGAGUCUCCCCUAUAUUUGCACGGUGUCGCACAAGUACAACAAGUAAACUGGAUACAACCACAACUAAAUGAACAUAGAAACAACUAUACAAUCAUUCAUUCACUAUUCACAUCACAAUUAUACAUUCAAUAUUUAACAUAAAUCUACAUCUAUCAGUUAAAAACGUUUUCAACCCAGAAACAGGUUUUGAAAUACUAAGAUACAAAAUCCACAGAAAACCUUCUAAAAACUCUUCCCUACACUGAAACUUUUAUCUUUUAGAAACGCUACCACGAGGGGUAGAAAACCAUU
RNAcentral lists this long non-coding RNA (9136 nucleotides) under Ananas comosus (pineapple). RNAcentral's name for it is "long non-coding RNA (ACOM_LNC015033)". Lineage: Eukaryota; Viridiplantae; Streptophyta; Magnoliopsida; Poales; Bromeliaceae. The record is from RNAcentral.